CAUUGAGAAGCUAAUCAGCAUUAACCUUUUAAGUUAAAGAUCGAGAGAGUGACCUCUCCUCAAUGA
RNAcentral lists this transfer RNA (66 nucleotides) under Mellivora capensis (ratel). RNAcentral describes it as "tRNA-Lys". Lineage: Eukaryota; Metazoa; Chordata; Mammalia; Carnivora; Mustelidae. The record is from RNAcentral.